CAGAAGGGAAAGACAAAUGAUGAGGACAGGAAAUGCAAGGAAAGGAACCGAAGCAAAAAGCUGACUAAUGUGGGUCAGGAUAAAAAUAAUGUAACCAAAGGAGUGGACAACAAGCAGAAGCAGAAACUGGGGGCUGUCAGAGGGCAGAGGAGGAAAACACUCUGGUUCCAGAGGGUGAGGCCCAGGAGUGGAUGUCUGCUGGAUGCUUCUGACCCUCAUCGAAGGAGACAGUGCCUGCCAGAAGGCACCAGUAUGGAGACAGAGACUGUCAACCACAAAUCAGAAGGCUGAGCCCAUUAAUGGUUCCUCACCAGACCUUCUUUGGUCCACUCGCUGUCUUCACUCUUCGCUCAUCCUUGGAGGGUACCAGAGGCCAUAUUGGGUCUUACUUUUUGCGAUGCCCCAUAGGAGAAAGAGCUUCAGGGGCUGGCCCCGUGGCCGAGUGGUUAAGUUCGCGCGCUCCGCUGCAGGCGGCCCAGUGUUUCGUUGGUUCGAAUCCUGGGCGCGGACAUGGCACUGCUCAUCAAACCACGCUGAGGCAGCGUCCCACAUGCCACAACUAGAAGGACCCACAACGAAGAAUAUACAACUACGUACUGGGGGACUUUGGGGAGAAAAAGGAAAAAAAUAAAAUCUUUAAAAAAAAAAAAAAAAGAGUUUCAAAAUGUUAGUGACCCAGCACUUACACUUUUAGGAAUUUAUCUAGAUCAGACAGGGGC
RNAcentral lists this long non-coding RNA (719 nucleotides) under Equus caballus (horse). RNAcentral describes it as "lncRNA (ENSECAG00000041929.2)". The record is from RNAcentral. Lineage: Eukaryota; Metazoa; Chordata; Mammalia; Perissodactyla; Equidae.